This 402-nucleotide ribosomal RNA is filed under the name Triticum aestivum (bread wheat). RNAcentral's name for it is "partial small subunit ribosomal RNA". Lineage: Eukaryota; Viridiplantae; Streptophyta; Magnoliopsida; Poales; Poaceae. The record is from RNAcentral.
AUGAAAAGUAAUACCAGCAGGUAUAACAUGAUCACAGAGUAUAAGACAACAUAUCACAAAAGUGAACAUGCAAAUCUGAAUACUACCGGAACAACGAUAACCAUCUUUUCAACAAGCAAACAUUUAUUAAAUAUUCAAGUUGAAAACCAUGGCAACUGCACGACUAUCAUGCAAGUGGGUAUUGUGGCUUGCCUGGGGAUGAAGAAGGCACCGGGGAGAAGUGCGGUGAAGCCGCGGAAAGACUCGCCGGGAAUUGUUCUCUCUCGGAGGGAGCAGAUUAAGGGCAAGGGCAUAAAGGUCAUUUUCAUAGUGUCAAACCAUAGUGAAAACAUGACCAACAGAAUGGGCUCGACGAAAAGAAGAAGUGAGCGUUGGUUUCACCUCAAACGAAGUUACGGAUAA